UACGAAGGGGGCGAGCGUUGUUCGGAUUUACUGGGCGUAAAGGGCGCGCAGGCGGCCAGAUUUGUCGAGUGUGAAAGCCCCGGGCUCAACCUGGGAAUGGCGCUCGAAACGGUUUGGCUGGAGUUCGGGAGAGGAUGGUGGAAUUCCCAGUGUAGAGGUGAAAUUCGUAGAUAUUGGGAAGAACACCGGUGGCGAAGGCGGCCAUCUGGACCGAAACUGACGCUGAGGCGCGAAAGCGUGGGGAGCAAACAGG
This 253-nucleotide ribosomal RNA is filed under the name uncultured bacterium. Its description in RNAcentral is "partial 16S ribosomal RNA". It matches the Rfam family "Bacterial small subunit ribosomal RNA", at positions 524 to 776 of the family's 1533-position model. The record is from RNAcentral.